Molecule: ribosomal RNA, 502 nt
Filed under: uncultured bacterium
Lineage: Bacteria
Description: bacterial SSU rRNA
Rfam family: Bacterial small subunit ribosomal RNA
Source: RNAcentral
AGUGGCGACCGGGUGAGUAACACGUGACUAACCUACCACAGUGGGGGAUAACCUCGGGAAACCGGGGCUAAUACCGCAUAACAUCGCAAGAUCAAAGGAGCAAUCCGCUGAAGGAGGGGGUCGCGGCUGAUUAGUUAGUUGGUGAGGUAACGGCUCACCAAGACGAAGAUCAGUAGCCGGCCUGAGAGGGCGCACGGCCACACUGGAACUGAAACACGGUCCAGACUCCUACGGGAGGCAGCAGUGGGGAAUUUUGCGCAAUGGGGGAAACCCUGACGCAGCAACGCCGCGUGGAGGAUGAAGUCCCUUGGGAUGUAAACUACUUUCGAUCGGGACGAUUAUGACGGUACCGGAAGAAGUAGCACCGGCUAACUCUGUGCCAGCAGCCGCGGUAAUACAGAGGGUGCAAGCGUUGUUCGGAAUUAUUGGGCGUAAAGGGCGCGUAGGCGGUGCGGUAAGACUGUGGUGAAAUCUCCGGGCUCAACUCGGAAAUUGCCGCGGU